GCCGGUGUGUUGGAAUUGGCAGACAAGGCAGACUCAAAAUCUGUUGAUGGAAACAUCGUGCGGGUUCAAGUCCCGCCACCGGCA
Molecule: transfer RNA, 84 nt
Filed under: Clostridium sp. AM42-36
Lineage: Bacteria; Bacillati; Bacillota; Clostridia; Eubacteriales; Clostridiaceae
Description: tRNA-Leu
Rfam family: tRNA
About the family: Transfer RNA (tRNA) molecules are approximately 80 nucleotides in length. Their secondary structure includes four short double-helical elements and three loops (D, anti-codon, and T loops). Further hydrogen bonds mediate the characteristic L-shaped molecular structure. tRNAs have two regions of fundamental functional importance: the anti-codon, which is responsible for specific mRNA codon recognition, and the 3' end, to which the tRNAs corresponding amino acid is attached (by aminoacyl-tRNA synthetases). tRNAs cope with the degeneracy of the genetic code in two manners: having more than one tRNA (with a specific anti-codon) for a particular amino acid; and 'wobble' base-pairing, i.e. permitting non-standard base-pairing at the 3rd anti-codon position.
Source: RNAcentral